Molecule: non-coding RNA, 584 nt
Organism: Solanum lycopersicum (tomato)
Lineage: Eukaryota; Viridiplantae; Streptophyta; Magnoliopsida; Solanales; Solanaceae
Source: RefSeq, a predicted model, not a curated record
CAAAUUUGUAUGUUGUUGAAGUUGUUGAAAGAAGAGUGUCGGUAUGAUGAAAAUUUUAAUUACCUUAUACAGACAGAUUAUGAUGCUGCAUUAACCAAGUAAACUAUUUUUAUUUUUAUAGACUUUUUUCUCCUCAUUUUGGGUUAAUAAUACUUGCUAUGACUUAAAAUUUACGUUAUUUUCUUAUAGAUAUUUUCCGGAUGGAAUUUAUGUAUAUUUUGACAAUGAGGUUGUCCUUAAUCACGUCAACCAUGGAGCUCAUAUUGUACUUUGUGGAAUGAUAUCAGAGUAUAACAAGGUUUGGACAGAAAGAAAAGGAGUUUGGAAUUUAUUGAACAUGGUGGGUAAAGAAGUUAUGAUGAAAGGAUUUAUGGUUGGUUCAUAUUAUAAUCACUUUGAGGAAUUUGUAAAGGAGAUGGAAGUUCAGUUGAAAGAAGGCAAGAUAAAGUCUAAGCACAAAGUCUAUAAUGGUAUUGAGAGCUUUUUGGAGAGUUUAACAUCUCUAUUUAGUAGCUCCAAUGUUGGAAAAGUAAUUCUUCAAGUUACUCCUUAAAAGUAAUUCUCACAAUUAUUAAACAAGCAAA